UAAUACAGAGGUGGCAAGCGUUGUUCGGAAUUACUGGGCGUAAAGGGCGCGUAGGUGGCCUUCUUAGUCAGACGUGAAAUCCCCGGGCUUAACUUGGGAACUGCGUCUGAUACUGGAAGGCUCGAGUUCGGGAGAGGAAUGUGGAAUUCCAGGUGUAGCGGUGAAAUGCGUAGAUAUCUGGAGGAACACCGGUGGCGAAGGCGGCAUUCUGGACCGAAACUGACGCUGAGGCGCGAAAGCCAGGGGAGCAAACGGGAUUAGAUACCCCGGUAGUCCUGGCCCUAAACGAUGAA
This 293-nucleotide ribosomal RNA is filed under the name uncultured bacterium. RNAcentral's name for it is "partial 16S ribosomal RNA". It matches the Rfam family "Bacterial small subunit ribosomal RNA", at positions 521 to 813 of the family's 1533-position model. The record is from RNAcentral.